AAAAGCAAAGCAAUAGCAGAUCUCAUUUUUUUUUUUUUUUUAGUAUGUUUUUUUUGUG
Molecule: non-coding RNA, 58 nt
Filed under: Symbiodinium sp. clade D
Lineage: Eukaryota; Dinophyceae; Suessiales; Symbiodiniaceae
Source: RNAcentral